RNAcentral lists this ribosomal RNA (1307 nucleotides) under metagenome. RNAcentral describes it as "bacterial LSU rRNA". It matches the Rfam family "Bacterial large subunit ribosomal RNA", at positions 1612 to 2925 of the family's 2925-position model. The record is from RNAcentral.
CAAAAGCUUCCAAUCAUACUACCCCAGUCGCCCGUACCGCAAACCGACACAGGUGGGUGAGUCGAAUAGACUAAGGCGCGCGAGAGAAACCUCUCUAAGGAACUCGGCAAAAUAGCCCCGUAACUUCGGGAGAAGGGGUGACCACUUCGGUGGUUCUCAGUAAAUUGGGUUUAGCGACUGUUUAACAAAAACACAGCACUCUGCCAAGUCGUGAAGACGACGUAUAGGGUGUGACACUGACCAAUGCGGAAAGAUCAAGGUAACUUGUUAGCCGUAAGGCGAAGCUCGGAGCCAAAGUCCCCGUGAAUGUCGGCCGUAACUAUAACGGUCCUAAGGUAGCGAAAUUCCUUGUCGGGUAAGUUCCGACCUGCACGAAUCGUGUAACGACUGAACCGCUGUCUCGGAGAGGAUCUCGGCGAAAUUGUAACGGCGGUGAAGAUGCCGCCUGCCCGCAGUAGGACGGAAAGACCCUAUGCACCUUUACUGUAAGCUGAUAUUGUGUUCUGAUUAAUGAUGCUUAGCGUAGGUGGGAGACUUUGAAGGCGUGGCUUCGGUUGCGCUGGAGUCGAAAUGUGAAACACCACUCUUCGUUAAUUAGGAUUCUAACUUCAACCUGUUAGCCAGGUGAAGGACGGUGUCUGCGGGUCAGUUUGACUGGGGCGGUUUCCUCCCAAAGAGUAACGGGGGAGCGCUAAGGUACUCUCAGCAUGGUUGGCAACUAUGCGUCGAGCGUAUGGGUAGAAGAGUGCUUAACUGCGAGACCUACAAGUCGAGCAGGUACGAAAGUAGGCCCAAAUGAUCCGAUGGUUUAAUGUGGAAUUGCCAUCGCUCAACGGACAAAAGGUACGCUAGGGAUAACAGGCUGAUCGGAUCCAAGAGUUCAUAUCGACGAUCCGGUUUGGCACCUCGAUGUCGGCUCAUCGCAUCCUGGGGCUGGAGAAGGUCCCAAGGGUCCGGCUGUUCGCCGGUUAAAGCGGUACGCGAGCUGGGUUCAGAACGUCGUGAGACAGUUCGGUCCUUAUCCACUGUGGGCGCAGGAAACUUGAGGGGUUCAUUCCUUAGUACGAGAGGACCGGGAAUGACGCACUUCUGGUGUGGCAAUUGUCUCGUCAGAGGCAUCGUUGCGUAGCCAUGUGCGGAAGAGAUAAGCGCUGAAAGCAUCUAAGUGCCAAGCUCAUCCCAAGAUAUUGUUUCCCGGACGAAAGUCCCUAAAGACCCCAUGUAGACCACAUGGUUGAUAGGUUAGGCGUGCAAGCGCUGUAAGGCGUUUAGCGGACUAAUACUAAUCGGUCGUGCGGCUUGAUUGC